UAUUUUUUUUUUUCUUUUUCUGUCCGACUCACGCCUGUCGGUAUGACGGAAAGAAGUCCGCGAUAAAACAGAUUAGCGCUCUAAACAUUUUGGACGGAACAGCGUGUGAGCCACUGCCAAUUUUCUUCCCUGCAAUUCUCGCAGGCCUUUCGUAAUGUCGGCGUACACGUCUUGCGGGAUGUUCUUCGUGUGAGAACGACAAUCGCGUGACUUUUAUUUCACGGUGCGAGAGGCGCCUUUUGGGAUGGAUAGCGAGAAGAGUUUGAGAGCGUGUUGAAAAAUAGAGGAGUAAAAAACCAAAACAACGCUCCGGUCAACGCGACGUGAGCUGUUUUUGUGUUGAUUUUUAUCCAUGCGUUCAUUUUCGCAUCACGACUCUUGUUUCCAGAAAGUUCACGGAUGAGCUGGAGCCGAGCGAGAGGCGCCAAACGCACGUAUCGCCUGUCGACCGCGCGGCCGGAGGAAACCGGAGCGCCUGCAGAAAGCAAGGGGUGUUUUAUGACGAAACUGCCUGCUCGGUGGCGGCUCGCCCACGAGAAAAUGAGGACAUCGUGUCCUGAACCCGCGAUGGGCCUCACGCGAGGCACAGGCCUCGGAUGAGUUGCAGAUUCAGUGUUUCCCGCUUUCAACGACAAAGCAGCGACAACUGAAAUCGAGCAUUUCUGUGCGGACAAGCUACGCACACCGCUAACCGGAAGAGACGCACCGACGAGUCGGAGGGGGUUCGGCGCGCAAACACAUCUAGAGAUCGCACUUCAUGAUCUCUCGGAGGCAGAUGGUGGCGUAGCAUGAGGAGUCCAGGUCAAAGUUCAAG
Molecule: long non-coding RNA, 814 nt
Organism: Hippocampus zosterae (dwarf seahorse)
Lineage: Eukaryota; Metazoa; Chordata; Actinopteri; Syngnathiformes; Syngnathidae
Exons: 4
Source: RefSeq, a predicted model, not a curated record